AUGGCAGAGAUCGUGAUUCUUCUAGCCAUUAAAAAGAUCGGAAAUGCCUUGGCAAAUGGAGCGGCAGACCAGGCCAGCACUCAGUUUGCGAAGUACCGCAUGCAACUAAAGGAGUUACAGGGCAACAUGGGUCGUGCUGCGAGAGAGCUUCGUGUAAUGCAUGAUGUUCUUUAUCAAAUGGACAUUCGAAACUGUGAUGAUCAAGUAUAUGAGGGCUGGUUGGAGGAGGUAAGGAAAGUAGCACAUGUGAUGGAGGACAUGGUGGAUGAGUACUUGUAUCUAGUUGGCCGGCAACAGGAUACAAGGUGUUGCUUUUACCUGAAGAAAGGGUUCAGAAAACCAAGAUCUCUGCUUUCUUUGAACCAAAUAGCUUUCAAGGUGAAGGAAAUAGAGAAAGACCUUGCACACCUGUCAGAGACAAAAAAAAAGAUGGGUUCCCAUGAUAAACAACCGGGAUACUAG
This 462-nucleotide ribosomal RNA is filed under the name Triticum aestivum (bread wheat). RNAcentral describes it as "partial small subunit ribosomal RNA". The record is from RNAcentral. Lineage: Eukaryota; Viridiplantae; Streptophyta; Magnoliopsida; Poales; Poaceae.